GAAGGAGAUGAGAUCAGAGAGGAAAUGGAGAGUCAUCAUUUAAGGACCCAGAGGCCUUCGUGGGGAGUUUGGAUUCUACUCUGAACGAUGUGGGGAGCCAUCGGAGAACGACAUGCUCGGACUUUAAAAAGGAUCACACUGGCGGCUGUAAGGAAAAAUGACUGGCGGAGGAAGCGGUGGAAGCUGGGAGACCCUGAAGAGGCAACUGUAGACUUCCAGGGAUGAGGUCACAAUCCUGGAAGUCAGGAGAGGAAGUCCCGGCCAUCAUUUUUCUCGAUUCAAGUGCAGUUUUGAGAACUGAAACGCCAGGACUGCUGGCGGCAGGGGAAGCAGAAGUCAGUGACCCAGCCACAGAAACCUCGCCCUGUGGACGGUGCGUUCGAAGGAGCAUGGAGUCACCUGCACUCCAAGUCCUGCCGAGCCAGCGUGCAGGGAUCGCAGCCCACGCCCCAGCGGCUUUUCUGCGGACGAGGAAAAUCGGGAUCAGCAGCCUCGCCCCAAGCUGGGGAUCACGGAAGGCUGACACUUACAUCUGGGAAAGACUUACUCCCUACCUGAGUCUCAGUUAAAAGAAAACAGAAGUCCUGGGUUUCAUCAGGUGCCCAUUCCUGGACUGUUCAAUUGUG
Molecule: long non-coding RNA, 626 nt
Filed under: Equus asinus (donkey)
Lineage: Eukaryota; Metazoa; Chordata; Mammalia; Perissodactyla; Equidae
Description: lncRNA (ENSEASG00005036065.1)
Source: RNAcentral